Molecule: long non-coding RNA, 3013 nt
Filed under: Homo sapiens (human)
Lineage: Eukaryota; Metazoa; Chordata; Mammalia; Primates; Hominidae
Description: non-protein coding lnc-RPS24-19:1
Source: RNAcentral
UGAUAUUGUUCCCAGCAGCACAUGCCAAAAGGCCACACACCUUCCCACGGGAUGAAGGAUUCCAGGGACAUCUCUUUUUAUAGGUGUGACUUCCCCUCUUUGCAGAGUAGCUAUUUAGCAACUAGAGGGCAAAGCCAGGCAACUGAGACUUAGGAACAGAAUUAUAUCAGAGAAAUUGGCGACAACCUUUCUGGAGCGAAAUCUAACAGUGUCUAUUAAUAUUCUAUAUAGACAUACACCUUUUGACUUAGGAAUUCCGCUCUCUCAACACCAGCAUGAAAGGCAACAUAUAUGAGAUGUAGUGGAGAAAGAAACCAUACCCUGACAACAACCUGAAAGUCCAUCAAAAGAGAAUGAUUGAAAAAAUUAUGGUACCUCUAUACCGUGAAAAUUCUGUAAUUAUAUUUUAAAAUGAGAUCUAUAUCUACAGGAAGAUAUAGAUCUCAUCUCUCCUGCCUCAGGAGAGAUGUUCAGGAUGAAAAACGUAGUUAUCAACAAUGUAUUGUAUAUUUCUAAUGCAUAUUUCAAAGUAGCUAGAAGAGAAAGAAUUUCAGAUGUCCCCAACACAUAGAAAUGAUAAAUACUCAAGGUGAUGGAUACCCCAAAUUCCCUGACUUGAUCAUUAUACAUUCCACACAUGUAACAAAUAUCACACAUACCCCAUAAAUAGGUAAAAUAUUAUGUAUCAAUAAAUAAUAAUAAAUUGAAAUUUAAAAAGAAAAGCAAGAGGCAGGGGACAAGAAUGUAAUAAGAUCCCAUUUUCAUUAAACAACUGAAAAGCCAUAUACAAGGCUCACAAGGCCCUACCCAAUCUGCCCUCCUCCAAUUCCUUCCCCUCCUUCUGUGACUUCAUUUCCUGCCUUUAUUCCUGUCACAUGCUCUGCUCUGUCCCAUUGACAGGACACAUUUCUAGGUACAUCCUGCCCCAGGGCCUUUGCACUUACCCUUGGCCUCAGUGCUCCUUCCCCAGAAAGCCAUAUGGCUUUCUCCCAAGUUCCUUUUGGUCUCUGUGCAAAACUGACCUUCUCAGUGAAUUCUACCCUGAUCCCUCCUUUAAAAUUACAAAACAGGGAGGAACUUUAUCCUGUUUUAUUUUUCUCCAUAGCACUUAUCAUUGGCUGCAUUCACUUCUCUGUAAGAUAUUUUUGUUUUGUUUUGUUUUCAUUUUUAUUGAGACUGAGUCUCACUUUGCCACCCAGGCUGGAGUGCAGUGGCGCGAUCUCGGUUCACUGCAACCUCCGCCUCCCAGGUUCAAGUGAUUCUCCUGCCUCAGCCUCCCCAGUAGCUGGAUUACAGGUGUGUGCCACCACACCUGGCUAAUUUUUGUAUUUUUAGUAGAGACAGGGUUUCACCAUGUUGGCCAGGCUGGUCUUGAAUUCAUGACCUCAAGUGAUCCGCCCACCUUGGCCUCCCAAAGUGCUGGGAUUACAGGCAUGAGCCACUGCACCCGGCCCACUGUAAAAUAUUUUAAUCCCCUGGACUGUCAGCUCCAAGAGGGCAAGGGUUUUUCCCUGUCUUGUUCCCUGUGGCAUCCCCAGCACCUAGCACACAGUAAAUAUCCAGCAAAUUUUUGCUGAAUGAAUGGAAAACCUGUUUGCCUAUCUUGACCCGGGCCUGGGGAAAUAAGUGGAAGGGUCCACCCUAGGCCCUAAGCACUUGGCCAGGAAAGCUGCAGGAGAGGAGUGCAUGGCAUCCGAGAGCCAUCAAACAGUAAAUAAGAAAGACUUUCUUUUUCUCCAUAUUAUGAUUCCACCAGUUGCUGUGAACAUAUGCUAUUUUUAUAACUUUUGAACACACAUUAAAUAAAACAAAAAAGCAAAGAUGUAAGUCAGACUCAGAGGAGCAGUGUGGAGGGGAGGGGAGACAACGCAAAGAGAGAGGGACCCAGGCCACGCCAAACAACCGCCUGGCUCUCUCCUCCCUCAGAAGAACCCAUCCCUGCCCCGCAUCCAGUGCAGCAAGCGUCCUGGGAAGGUCAGGCUGUGGCUCAUGAAAGACACUACAGAGUAGAUGCUAACCCAAAUCCGAACACUCCCAGACUCUCCCUCCCACCCAGCUCAGCUGGUACUAGAGGCAGACAACGAAAAGCUGGCAGAACAAGACAAAUGGUGGAGAAAGUAAGGUCUGAAGAAGGUGGGGUGGGUAGAAAGCAGCAAAAAGGAAUGAGGGUUGGUCCAGGGGGCCAGGCCCCAGCUCAGCCUCCUAGUCACUGAGUCAGCUUGGGCAAGGGUGCUCUAACCUCUGAGCCUCUGGUUCUUCCUCCCUAAAAGUCAAAAUAAAGGUAUCUGCCUUGCCCCAGUGGGCUGGAUGUAUACGAUACUGCUUUAUCAUGCUGUACAAAUAUCAUUAGAAAGAGAAUCAGCAGCGUGGAUGCCUCACUGGAUAAUGCAAAACCCCGCCCCACACGGAGCCUUGGUUUCCUCUAUUGUGUUUUCCAAUUAUUUGCUGUUGGUCUAUCAAAAAUGCAUUUAAUAUGCAUUUUAAUAUCUGACCUUUGGCCACCUGGCUCAACUCUGUUGCUUCUAAUAAUUUAUACAUUCGGAGUCUACGAUUUCCUCCAGCCAGAUGAUGGCUGCACCAGAAAAUAAUGAUGCCUUCAUCUCUUCCUUUCCAAGACUUAUGUCUCUAUUGGUUUUCUCUUGUGGUAUUGCGCUGGCUCUGACCUAGGGUGCAAGGUUGAAUAAGAGAGGUGAUAGUGGGCGUUCUUGUCUUCUUUUUAACCUGAAGGGAUUGCAUCUCAUGUCUAUCUAUCAGGAAUAAGGUUUGCUAGAGAUUUCAGUAGCUAUCUGUCUUCAGAUUAAGUAAGUUCCCACUGCGCAGAGUUGACGAUGUGUGAUCAUGAAGCACCUACUGGAUCAUAUUGAAUGUCAUUUCAGCAAUUAGAGAGAUCAUUACAUGAUUGUUCUCCUUUGUUUUAAUAGAGGUCUGCAAAACAAGGGGAUGCCUCUACCCAAUACUGCCUUUCAGGGUCAGGAGGAACAAGGCCUGGGACCCGGAAGAUAAUGACACCACU